GCCUGCCUCCUUCUCAGGGUCACACCCAUAGCGUUCCUCUGGCAAGUUUUGCAACUCUUGCCUGUUAGGAUGCUUAGCUGCUCCUUUCUCUGCAGCUUGCAGGACAUUGACCCCUCUCUGCCCCUCUCCGGGGCUGGAAAUACCUCUGGGCAGCCUCCCUCCUUCAAUCCAGAGUGAGAUGCUGCUCUGGAAGUGCGGUGACUGUUUCUCUUCCCUUCUGGUUUCCAGCUGCAGCCCUGUUGGCCCUGAAUGCUAUAUUGACCCUGCAGAGGCAAGAGACAGAAGGUUUUUGUGAGACUUUGCAACAUUUGAAAGAUAAGAAGCUCUGCUACAGGGGCCCUGUGCUGCCUAGCCUAAGAUUGGAGAUCAGCUGUGUGUGGGUGGCCAGGGACCAACCCAAGUUGGCCAGACAGGCCUGGGCUCAGAUGCCAAGGAGGAGAUCACCAGGAUCUACACCUUCCUCAGUGUAUGAGUAUGAAAGGCCUGUGACUAGACAGCUGUGGGGACACAGGUUUCUCAAUAAAGGAGCUGCAGCCUCACACAGGGGAGAGGCACCAGUUGGCAGCCAGGAUGCACUUCCAGGGUCAUCGCCAGUCUCAGCUGGGGCCCUGUGUAUGCACCAACUCUGACAGUGCAGGACCCAGGACCACACCCAACUGCUGGACCACCUGGUCACAGUGGCCAAGGAGUUCCUGGUGAACUUGCAGGCCUGCCAAGUGGAGGAAAUCACCAAGAGUGGGAAUGGGAUCCAUACAAGGAGGAGAGGCUCAUGUGUGAGGAGGAGAGAGGCUCACAGGCAAGGAGGAGAGGGACUGGUGGAGGGACCAGGUGGACCAAGAAUUCAGGGACAUGAUCCUGGCCCUGGGGGACAGGUGGCAGGCUGCCCUAGUGGCCAAGGCAGUGGAGGCCAUGGAAGAAGACUGCCAAGUGCUGUACACCAUCCUGGCCUUGGCAGUUGCCUUCAUGCCACCUGCUGCCCAGUCACUGGCUGCAGCCCUGCCUGGCCACAAGCCCUCUUGUGGUCCUGGGCUGAGAUGCAGCAGCACCUCCACCAGCCAGGAGACCCUGCCCUGAGCCCACCCCAAGUCUCCCACCACACAAUCCCUCUGCCUGGGUCCAGCCCCACCUCUCACCCCAGCUCCAUGUGUCCUGGAGCAUGACCUGCCUGCAGGACGGAUAGGAAUAUGCAUGGGCCUUGCUGGCCUAGCCUGCUGGCUUCAGGAGUGGGAGCCACCUGAGCCAGCAGAGCAGUGCCCACCAUUGCCCCUGGGUGAGCCCUCCACCCACCAGACUCACCACAACAUGUACACCUACAGGGUUAUGACCAGAGGCCAUGGUUCUGCUUGUCUGUCCCUAGGCUCCACCCCCUAGGCACCCUCACCCCACUGCCCCUCACCCCAGGGCAGCACACACAACAUGCACUAGACAGGGUCUUCACAGGGAAGAAGAUGUUUUAUUGGUAGUGGAUGGGGUGAGUGGGGUGGAAAGUGGAGGAGAAAAGGACAGGAUCUGUUGUGGGGAAGGGAGGGGGAUCAGGCUAUAUCAAUGUGGAGAGAGGGUGGAGGGGGGU
This is a long non-coding RNA of Alligator mississippiensis (American alligator), 1570 nucleotides long. RefSeq lists it as uncharacterized. The transcript has 4 exons. The record is from RefSeq and is a predicted model, not a curated record. NCBI's taxonomy places the organism in Eukaryota, Metazoa, Chordata, Crocodylia, Alligatoridae.